UACAUUGGGGGAUAGCCUUUCGAAAGGGAGAUUAAUACCGCAUAAGACAGUAGCUGGGCAUCCAGUAGCUGUUAAAGAUUUAUCGAUGUAAGCUGGGCAUGCGUCCAAUUAGUUAGUUGGCGAGGUAAUGGCCCACCAAGACGAUGAUUGGUAGGGGAACUGAGAGGUCAAUCCCCCACACUGGCACUGAGAUACGGGCCAGACUCCUACGGGAGGCAGCAGUAGGGAAUAUUGGGCAAUGGACGCAAGUCUAACCCAGCCAUGCCGCGUACAGGAAGAAGGCGUUAUGCGUUGUAAACUGCUUUUAUAUAGGAAGAAACGACCCUUGCGAGGGGCAUUGACGGUACUAUAUGAAUAAGCACCGGCUAACUCCGUGCCAGCAGCCGCGGUAAUACGGAGGGUGCAAGCGUUGUCCGGAUUUAUUGGGUUUAAAGGGUGCGCAGGUGGUUUAUUAAGUCAGUGGUGAAAGACGGUCGCUCAACGAUUGCAGUGCCAUUGAUACUGGUAGACUUGAGUAAAGUAGAGGUGGGCGGAAUUGAUAGUGUAGCGGUGAAAUGCAUAGAUAUUAUCAAGAACUCCAAUUGCGUAGGCAGCUCACUUGGCUUUUACUGACACUCACGCACGAAAGUGUGGGUAUCAAACAGGAUUAGAUACCCUGGUAGUCCACACUGUAAACGAUGAUAACUAGGUGUCGGCCGAAUCUGGUCGGUGCCACAGCGAAAGCGUUAAGUUAUCCACCUGGGGAGUACGCCGGCAACGGUGAAACUCAAAGGAAUUGACGGGGGUCCGCACAAGCGGUG
Molecule: ribosomal RNA, 800 nt
Filed under: uncultured bacterium
Lineage: Bacteria
Description: bacterial SSU rRNA
Rfam family: Bacterial small subunit ribosomal RNA
Source: RNAcentral